Molecule: long non-coding RNA, 483 nt
Organism: Ziziphus jujuba (common jujube)
Lineage: Eukaryota; Viridiplantae; Streptophyta; Magnoliopsida; Rosales; Rhamnaceae
Exons: 2
Source: RefSeq, a predicted model, not a curated record
AAAUGGAUUUAACUCGAUCACAGGGAUAUUAUUGCUUCAAAUUUUGGACUUUUCUCUUCCGUGAGCCAAUCAAACUUAAGACUUUUAUACGAAGGUAACUGCAGCUACAAAGUCAAACAUGAUAUCCAUUACAACACAACAAAAAAAUCCAUCUAUAUAUAUAUGUACAUCUGAUCAUAUAUUAUAUAUCAAAUCAAAUUUCAAAAGCAAAUUACAGUAUAAACAAAAGGAUAUGGCUUCAUCUUGUCCCGUUAUAGGUAAGAAUUCUUGGCCUGAGCUUUUGGGAACAGAAGGGAAGGCUGCAGUGGAAAUAAUCGAGAGAGAGAAUCCGAAUGUGAAAGCAAGCAUUGUGUUGGAGGGAUCGUUUGUGACCGCUGACAUUCGCUGCGACAGGGUUCGUGUUUGGGUUAACACAAAUGGGAUUAUCAUCUCGGUUCCCAAUGUUCGUUAGAUCUGCACAAGUUGAUCAUCAGCAUCAUCGAU